CUGCGUGGAAGGGCCAUCGCUCAACGGAUAAAAGCUACCCUGGGGAUAACAGGCUUAUCUCCCCCAAGAGUCCACAUCGACGGGGAGGUUUGGCACCUCGAUGUCGGCUCAUCACAUCCUGGGGCUGUAGUAGGUCCCAAGGGUUGGGCUGUUCGCCCAUUAAAGUGGUACGCGAGCUGGGUUCAGAACGUCGUGAGACAGUUCGGUCCCUAUCCGUCGCAGGCGUAGGAAAUUUGAGAAGACCUGUCCUUAGUACGAGAGGACCGGGAUGGACGUACCUCUGGUGUACCAGUUGUCCUGCCAAGGGCAUGGCUGGGUAGCUAUGUGCGGAAUGGAUAAGCGCUGAAAGCAUCUAAGCGCGAAGCCAACUUCAAGAUAAGAUUUCCCACCGCAAGGGUAAGACCCCAGAAAGACUAUCUGGUUGAUAGGUCGAAGGUGUAAGUGCAGCAAUGUA
Molecule: ribosomal RNA, 454 nt
Filed under: Clostridioides difficile
Lineage: Bacteria; Bacillati; Bacillota; Clostridia; Peptostreptococcales; Peptostreptococcaceae
Description: bacterial LSU rRNA
Rfam family: Bacterial large subunit ribosomal RNA
Source: RNAcentral